Molecule: ribosomal RNA, 253 nt
Filed under: uncultured bacterium
Lineage: Bacteria
Description: partial 16S ribosomal RNA
Rfam family: Bacterial small subunit ribosomal RNA
Source: RNAcentral
UACGUAGGGGGCAAGCGUUGUCCGGAUUUAUUGGGCGUAAAGAGCGUGUAGGCGGUUCGGUAGGUCCGUUGUGAAAACUCGAGGCUCAACCUCGAGACGCCGAUGGAAACCAUCGAACUAGAGUCCGGAAGAGGAGAGUGGAAUUCCAGGUGUAGCGGUGAAAUGCGUAGAUAUCUGGAGGAACACCGGUGGCGAAGGCGGCAUCCUGGACCGACACUGACGCUGAGGCGCGAAAGCCAGGGGAGCAAACGGG